AUGAUUGCAAAUGAUGAGAUACAAGUUUUAUGGGUAAUUUGCGUCUGAGGCAUCUCUGUGAUGUUACUCUUUUCACCUUGGAGAUCUGUUGCAUCCU
Triticum aestivum (bread wheat) is the source of this 97-nucleotide non-coding RNA. Lineage: Eukaryota; Viridiplantae; Streptophyta; Magnoliopsida; Poales; Poaceae. The record is from Rfam.